This 253-nucleotide ribosomal RNA is filed under the name uncultured bacterium. Its description in RNAcentral is "partial 16S ribosomal RNA". It matches the Rfam family "Bacterial small subunit ribosomal RNA", at positions 524 to 776 of the family's 1533-position model. The record is from RNAcentral.
UACGAAGGGGGCUAGCGUUGCUCGGAAUCACUGGGCGUAAAGGGUGCGUAGGCGGGUUUUUAAGUCAGAGGUGAAAUCCUGGAGCUCAACUCCAGAACUGCCUUUGAUACUGAGGAUCUUGAGUAUGACAGAGGUGAGUGGAACUGCGAGUGUAGAGGUGAAAUUCGUAGAUAUUCGCAAGAACACCAGUGGCGAAGGCGGCUCACUGGGUCAUUACUGACGCUGAGGCACGAAAGCGUGGGGAGCAAACAGG